CUUUUACCUAGAGAAGUUAAAUCAAACCAUGUUAGAGGACCUUUCACCUUUUAUCUGUUAGACUAUGUCUGUGUUUACUGUGUGUCGCUGUGUGUGUGUGUGUUAGCGCAGUGUGUGUGUGUGUGUGUGUUAGCGUUGUGUGUGUGUGUGUGUGUGUUAGCGCAGUGUGUGUGUGUGUGUGUUAGCGCAGUGUGUGUGUGUGUGUGUGUGUGUUAGCGCAGUGUGUGUGUGUGUUGUGUGUGUGUUAGCGCAGUGUGUGUGUGUUAGCGCAGUGUGUGUGUGUGUUAGCGCAGUGUGUGUGUGUGUGUGUUAGCGCAGUGUGUGUUAGCGC
Oncorhynchus tshawytscha (Chinook salmon) is the source of this 331-nucleotide long non-coding RNA. NCBI's taxonomy places the organism in Eukaryota, Metazoa, Chordata, Actinopteri, Salmoniformes, Salmonidae. The record is from Ensembl.